GGGCUCAGGGGCCGAGAGGGAGCUGGGCUUGGGGCGGGGCCGAGACGGAGCGAGGGGUCCAGGGUGUGAGAAACGGGGAGGGGUUUGAGGAGGGGAUUGGAGUGUGGCUCAAGUUCGGGAGGCGUUACCUGCGGAGGGUUUGAGGCAGGCCCAGGAGCGAGCCCACGGUCUGCCGACGCGGGGCCAGCGGCGGGCCCCAGGAUCCGGAGCUUCGGGCGGGGCCGAGUCCAGGCAGGAAUCGGAGUGCCGUAGUACAAUCACAGCUCACUGCAGCCUCAAACUCCUGGGUUCCAGCGAUCCUCCCGCCUCAGCCUCCCCAGUAGCUGGGGCUACAGCCCAGUAAAGGCGCCAUUCCCCAUUUUACAGCUGGGGAAACUGAGUUACAGAGCUUGUCUACACUGAGUCAACAGGAGCAAAUGCUAGAUCAGGUCUAGCUGGAGUACAGUGAUGCAGUCAUAGCCCACUGCAGCCUCAAAAUUCCUGGGCUCAAGCAAUCCACCCACAUCAGCUUCCCAAGUAGUUGGGACUACAGGCCCACACUACUAUACCCAGACCAACAGAUAUUCUAGCAUAUAAGAAAUGUGAUGCUCUCUGUACAUUGAAGAGUUGGUCUAAUAUUUGGCCUGGUGGAUACAGAAAUUGCCUGUCUGCUCCGCUCUGGUUGAAGAAACCAGUCCGACUGUCUCUGAGGCUAUGGAGCAGUCCAUCAAGAAUGAAAGCCCUCGGCUGGCACGUUGGCUCACACCUGUAAUACCAGCGCUUUGGGAGGCUGAGGCAGGUGGAUCACUUGAAGUCACGAAUUCGACACCAGCAUGGCCAACAUGGUGAAACCCUCUCUCUACAGAAAAUAGAAAAAUUAGCUGGGCCUAGUGACGUGUGCCUGUAAUCCCAGCUACUCAGGAGGCUGAGGCAGGAGAAUCACUUGAUC
Molecule: long non-coding RNA, 928 nt
Filed under: Homo sapiens (human)
Lineage: Eukaryota; Metazoa; Chordata; Mammalia; Primates; Hominidae
Description: PREDICTED lncRNA (TCONS_00195400)
Source: RNAcentral